CAUAUCAAUAAGCGGAGGAAAAGAAACCAACAGGGAUUGCCCUAGUAACGGCGAGUGAAGCGGCAACAGCUCAAAUUUGAAAUCUGGCUCUUUUAGAGUCCGAGUUGUAAUUUGCAGAGGGCGCUUUGGCGUUGGCAGCGGUCCAAGUUCUUUGGAACAGGACGUCACAGAGGGUGAGAAUCCCGUACGUGGUCGCUAGCCUUCGCCGUGUAAAGCCCCUUCGACGAGUCGAGUUGUUUGGGAAUGCAGCUCUAAAUGGGAGGUAAAUUUCUUCUAAAGCUAAAUACUGGCCAGAGACCGAUAGCGCACAAGUAGAGUGAUCGAAAGAUGAAAAGCACUUUGGAAAGAGAGUCAAAUAGCACGUGAAAUUGUUGAAAGGGAAGCGCUUGCAGCCAGACUUGCCUGUAGUUGCUUAUCCGGACUUUUGUCCGGUGCACUCUUCUGCGGGCAGGCCAGCAUCAGUUUAGGCGGUUGGAUAAAGGUCUCUAUCACGUACCUCCCUUCGGGGUUGGCCUUAUAGGGGAGACGACAUGCAACCAGCCUGAACUGAGGUCCGCGCAUCUGCUAGGAUGCUGGCGUAAUGGCUGUAAGCGGCCCGUCUUGAAACACGGACCAAGGAGUCUAACAUCUAUGCGAGUGUUUGGGUGUCAAGCCCAGACGCGUAAUGAAAGUGAACGGAGGUGGGAACCUUUUAGGUGCACCAUCGACCGAUCCUGAUGUCUUCGGAUGGAUUUGAGUAAGAGCAUGGCUGUUGGGACCCGAAAGAUGGUGAACUAUGCUUGAAUAGGGUGAAGCCAGAGGAAACUCUGGUGGAGGCUCGCAGCGGUUCUGACGUGCAAAUCGAUCGUCAAAUUUGGGCAUAGGGGGCGAAAGACUAAUCGAACUAUCUAGUAGCUGGUUCCUGCGAGU
This 909-nucleotide ribosomal RNA is filed under the name Septoriella tridentina. RNAcentral's name for it is "partial 28S ribosomal RNA". It matches the Rfam family "Eukaryotic large subunit ribosomal RNA", at positions 39 to 967 of the family's 3401-position model. The record is from RNAcentral. Lineage: Eukaryota; Fungi; Ascomycota; Dothideomycetes; Pleosporales; Phaeosphaeriaceae.